Molecule: unclassified non-coding RNA, 332 nt
Organism: Pongo abelii (Sumatran orangutan)
Lineage: Eukaryota; Metazoa; Chordata; Mammalia; Primates; Hominidae
Rfam family: Metazoan signal recognition particle RNA
About the family: The signal recognition particle (SRP) is a universally conserved ribonucleoprotein.
Source: Ensembl
GCCGGGCAUGGUGGCGGGCGCCUGUAGUCCCAGCUACUUGGGAGGCUGAGGCAGGAGAAUGGCGUGAACCCGGGAGGCGGAGCUUGCAGUGAGCCGAGAUUGCACCACUGCACUCCAGCCUGGGGGACGGAGUGAGACUCUGUCUCAAAAAAAACAAACAAAAAAUAUAUAUAUACACAUAUAUAUCUCCAGAGAGGAGAAAAAGGAAUAACCUUUUUUUUUUUCCUUUUUGAGACAAACUCUCACUCUAUCGCCCAGGCUGGAGUGCAGUGGUGAGAUCUCGGCUCACUGCAACCUCCGCUUCCUGGGUUCAAGUGAUUCUCCUGCCUCAG